CUGGGAAAUAUCAAUAGUUAUUAAUUGAGAAAUAUCACAAAACUCUCAUCUUUCCCCCACUCUUGUCUUUCCCCCAGUUACAUUACGUUGAUUGAAUGUUUUAUGUAGUAAAUAUCCGUUUCAGAGUUGUACAUAAACUGUUUAUUGAUCUGUACUAUUUAUCGUUUUUCCUCCUUUAUUAUUUUACAAGACGGAAAAUUCCUGUUUUGAAUUUACAUCAUUGGUACGGAUUUCAAUCGAUAAGAAAAAGUAUCAUUUUUCAUUGACGUAGUAGAUUCUUACACUAACUUUUUUCUGAUAGUAGUAUAUUUUUUUCUGAGCAUAAGGAAUUAAUUAAAAUUUUAUGGUGGAUGAACAGAAUGAACUGUAUACAUUAGUUAGUAAACUUUUGAUGAAUUCAAUAUUUUUAUUGGCUUCUGUGAAUUUACGUUUCUUUAUAUGGAGAAAUAAUAUUGCACGCGAAAUAGUAAUGACCAUUCUAUCUCUAGGCAUUCUCAGAGAUAGAUGUGUCAUGCAUUUACUACUGCGUGCUAUACAUUUGUAUGGCACGCAUUGGUACUAACAAUACAGUUCGUCAACCCAGAAAGUGCAAAUAAGGUAACGGAUAUCGUGAGUUAGCUAUGCCAUACCUUAGGAUGAAGAGUUGAUACUAUUUUAUAAAGAAAGAUAUUACAAGCGAACUAAUAAUAAUCACUAGGUUUCUAUUCGCUGACAUGGAAAUGUAUCUUAAGGCGAACACAUUUUUCUUAACUUAGACAAGCUGCAUGAAUGUAAUAAAUGUUGCUCGACUGAAUGGAGAAUUGCAACUACUAAAGUAUUAAAAAUUUCAUCAUCAGUUCUAACAGAAAAAAAAAAGUCAUAAAAGUGAG
Molecule: long non-coding RNA, 869 nt
Filed under: Androctonus crassicauda
Lineage: Eukaryota; Metazoa; Arthropoda; Arachnida; Scorpiones; Buthidae
Source: RNAcentral